AGUGAACGCUGGCGGUAGGCCUAACACAUGCAAGUCGAACGGCAGCACAGUAAGAGCUUGCUCUUACGGGUGGCGAGUAGCGGACGGGUGAGGAAUACAUCGGAAUCUACUUUUUCGUGGGGGAUAACGUAGGGAAACUUACGCUAAUACCGCAUACGACCUACGGGUGAAAGCGGGGGAUCUUCGGACCUUGCGCGAUUGAAUGAGCCGAUGUCGGAUUAGCUAGUUGGCGGGGUAAAGGCCCACCAAGGCGACGAUCCGUAGCUGGUCUGAGAGGAUGAUCAGCCACACUGGAACUGAGACACGGUCCAGACUCCUACGGGAGGCAGCAGUGGGGAAUAUUGGACAAUGGGCGCAAGCCUGAUCCAGCCAUACCGCGUGGGUGAAGAAGGCCUUCGGGUUGUAAAGCCCUUUUGUUGGGAAAGAAAAGCAGCAGGUUAAUACCCCGCUGUUCUGACGGUACCCAAAGAAUAAGCACCGGCUAACUUCGUG
This 492-nucleotide ribosomal RNA is filed under the name uncultured bacterium. Its description in RNAcentral is "partial 16S ribosomal RNA". It matches the Rfam family "Bacterial small subunit ribosomal RNA", at positions 29 to 507 of the family's 1533-position model. The record is from RNAcentral.